Molecule: long non-coding RNA, 886 nt
Organism: Heteronotia binoei (common prickly gecko)
Lineage: Eukaryota; Metazoa; Chordata; Lepidosauria; Squamata; Gekkonidae
Exons: 2
Source: RefSeq, a predicted model, not a curated record
UUAACGACACUUUCGGUUCCGGAGGGAAGAGCGUCACGCGCGGGGCUUUUUACCUUUCAAAAUGGGAUGAAUCGCCGCUCCAGACCCCAGCGGGUCCCGCUUCUUACCGCCUCCGCCAGAGCCCGGCGGCGAGAACUCUUCAGCUUUACUGGGGGACAGAGACGCAGCACCGCUCCCGCUCAUUGUGCCCCGGCGGCCAGCUGAUAAAACCACGCAUGCGCCGCACUUGGGGAAGCGUACGGCGCAUGCGUGACGUGUAGGCUUUCGUUGGGCUGGUGCCCGCCUCGUGGGCGGAGUUCUCUGCGAUGCUACCAAUCAAAGCCUGGUCCGUGCAGCUUCGCGGGGUUGUGGGAAAAUCCUGAGGUCGGUGGUCUGAAAGAGCGGGGUUUGUUGGUAGGCUUGCCUGCCCCCUUACAAUGUUUUCAAGCCGUGUCGAGGAGCACCUUUAGACCAACACAUUUUUAUUCAGAAGAAUGUGCAAAAUCCUGACGUGAAGAGAGAAACCACUAUGACGACACAUGUACUGCUGUUGCGCAUGAUGGGGCACAUGAAGCAAGGACAGUCAAGCAAAUUUGAUCCAAGGCUCUUACAUGGGAAGAACUGUAGUAGCUGCUGGAGAACUGAGGUGGUUCUAUACUAAAAUGAACUGUCAAGGGAUGGAGAGCUCUUUGAGCAUCCGUCCCCUUAAAAACAGCCACAACACAGCUAGUAGUCUAUGUCUGGUCAAGUUUAACUGUUUUGGAAGCAAAAGAAAAAUUUCUCAAAAUGAAUAUUCUGACAUAUCAAUUUUUCAUAGCAAUUUCCAUUUCCCCCCAAGAAAAUAAACCCCAAAUUAAAAAAAAACCUUUAAAAUAAUUUAUCAAAUCAAUAUGAUUUUCUACCAAAA